Danio aesculapii is the source of this 101-nucleotide long non-coding RNA. RefSeq lists it as uncharacterized. The transcript is spliced from 3 exons. The record is from RefSeq and is a predicted model, not a curated record. Lineage: Eukaryota; Metazoa; Chordata; Actinopteri; Cypriniformes; Danionidae.
ACAGCUGGCUUAAGACCAAAGAAGAGGAGAAUAAGAUCAGCGAAAUAAUUGUCAUCAAUUCAUCGUCUUAUGAACUUGGUGUUCUGCUGGGUAGAGGAGGC